RNAcentral lists this unclassified non-coding RNA (298 nucleotides) under Hevea brasiliensis (rubber tree). Lineage: Eukaryota; Viridiplantae; Streptophyta; Magnoliopsida; Malpighiales; Euphorbiaceae. The record is from RNAcentral.
GAAUGAGCUUACGGUGCACCCUGAUAAAUUGGGUCCUGGGAAGCUUGUUUCUUUAUCUGAUGAUGCUAAAACAAUAAUUACGUCAGAACUUGGAGCCAAACAUCUUCAAGUGUGGUGGUGUGAUAUGAGUUCUGGAAAAUUUAGUAGAGGUCCUGUUCUGUCCAUGAAGCAUCCUCCAUUUGUCUCUGAAUGCAGAAAUAUUAGCAAUCAAGAAGACAGCGUAGUUGUCUUGUCAGUAUCAGUAUCAGGUGUAGCUUAUUUAUGGAAAUUAAAGAUCCUUUCUGAAGAUGAGGUUAGU